UUUUACCUACAGUUCAAAGAAUCACUUUAGAGUAGACGUCCCACCUCUGAACUCUUCUAAAGAGCUACAGAAUCUCCACCCUUGCUGAUGACUUCCAUGUCCUCAAUGCCCUAAAGUGAAGCCGUGUUUACUUCCGCCUCGAUAGCUGGUAUCUGCGAACGACUUGCUUCGGUGAGCUUGUUCGAGUGCCUUUUGUCCAGGGAGUGGUGAUGAUCUUUACCUUGUCUUGACGUCUUGACUUCGGUCGGUCAGAUUUGGUGGGUGUUGAGGAGGUCUGAAAGGU
This is a non-coding RNA of Aspergillus flavus NRRL3357, 283 nucleotides long. NCBI's taxonomy places the organism in Eukaryota, Fungi, Ascomycota, Eurotiomycetes, Eurotiales, Aspergillaceae. The record is from Rfam.